GGAUUAGUGGCGAACGGGUGAGUAACACGUGAGUAACCUGCCCUUAACUCUGGGAUAAGCCUGGGAAACUGGGUCUAAUACCGGAUAUGACUCCUCAUCGCAUGGUGGGGGGUGGAAAGCUUUUUGUGGUUUUGGAUGGACUCGCGGCCUAUCAGCUUGUUGGUGAGGUAAUGGCUCACCAAGGCGACGACGGGUAGCCGGCCUGAGAGGGUGACCGGCCACACUGGGACUGAGACACGGCCCAGACUCCUACGGGAGGCAGCAGUGGGGAAUAUUGCACAAUGGGCGAAAGCCUGAUGCAGCGACGCCGCGUGAGGGAUGACGGCCUUCGGGUUGUAAACCUCUUUCAGUAGGGAAGAAGCGAAAGUGACGGUACCUGCAGAAGAAGCGCCGGCUAACUACGUGCCAGCAGCCGCGGUAAUACGUAGGGCGCAAGCGUUAUCCGGAAUUAUUGGGCGUAAAGAGCUCGUAGGCGGUUUGUCGCGUCUGCCGUGAAAGUCCGGGGCUCAACUCCGGAUCUGCGGUGGGUACGGGCAGACUAGAGUGAUGUAGGGGAGACUGGAAUUCCUGGUGUAGCGGUGAAAUGCGCAGAUAUCAGGAGGAACACCGAUGGCGAAGGCAGGUCUCUGGGCAUUAACUGACGCUGAGGAGCGAAAGCAUGGGGAGCGAACAGGAUUAGAUACCCUGGUAGUCCAUGCCGUAAACGUUGGGCACUAGGUGUGGGGGACAUUCCACGUUUUCCGCGCCGUAGCUAACGCAUUAAGUGCCCCGCCUGGGG
This 778-nucleotide ribosomal RNA is filed under the name Arthrobacter sp. RNAcentral describes it as "bacterial SSU rRNA". It matches the Rfam family "Bacterial small subunit ribosomal RNA", at positions 89 to 878 of the family's 1533-position model. Lineage: Bacteria; Bacillati; Actinomycetota; Actinomycetes; Micrococcales; Micrococcaceae. The record is from RNAcentral.